CACGUUUUCCACAAAACUUCUUCCUUCUUUUGACCUUUAACACUGCAUUGCUAUGUUCCCCUUUGUUCCUAUGACACCCUGAAAUCCCUAUCCUUCUAGAACCAAAUAUAUUUAUACCCUUAACUUCAUUGCACAUAAUCUCCCCUUGUAAUCUUGAUCCUGGCAUUGACUUUAUCCCCCAAUAUAUAUUCUGGUUUACCUUUUAUCUCUCUGCAUGUUCUUUUCAUGUCCCCUGCUUCAGGCUCUGCACCACCAUCUGUGCCCUUGAUCACUUUUCCCCUGUGCCCUAUUCUGUCAUGUGUCAUGCAAACAAGGUCACUCUCUAUAUGCUUCAGCAUUGAACAAUUGCUGCUGGCAGUUGUUGGCAAAUUCCCACGAGUUGGAGUUCAUACAGAGAUCAAGUUCUGAGUCAGGUCAAAUUAUGAGAAAUGAGUAUCAGCAAGCUGUCAGACAGUUUAGAGGGUGAAAAUUCUCUGUGGGUAUGUUUUUCAGGGCUCAGCAGGGCCAUUUCUGAACCCCCCAGCCUCUGCUAGGGUGCUGAUUUUCACUGUGCUGUAGCUGCACAGUGGUUGCCUUCAGGGCAGCCUUGAGCUGAGGAGAUGAGAGUGGAUUAAGCUAAAAUGACAGAAGUCACUCUUGAGCCUGCUGGUGUGGACUUAUGGAGCUCUCUAGAAAGGAAACUACAUUGCUUCUAGCUGACUAGGUCAAGGAUAGCAUAAGGCAUGCAGUGCUCCAUCACGGUCUCAGGUACAUGAGGUCAUCCUCCAGUUAAAUGGAGAAUCCCAGAGACCAGAGCACUUUCCCCUCACUUUCAUUAGAAUGUAUUCUUGUAACUGUUCCACUUCUUUACAAGUUACUGUGAUUAAUAUCUUUCUACCCCUAAAUGAUAACCUGAUCUUUAUCAUAUGUGUGUGCACAUGUAUAGUAAAACAGUUUCAGUAGUAAAUGUGGAUUCAUGAACCCAUCAGGGAUCUUGGACUGCAUUCCCUUGCGUAAGGAAGGGGUAGUGCCUGACAGUCUCCACUGUCCAGUGCAGUAGCAGAACCCAACCUGCAGGGCACUUCCUCCUACCUGCUCUUCUCCAGCUACUCAUUAUUUCAUCUCCACUCUCUAAUAAAAAAUGUAUACAUUGGGGGAAAGAAACCCCUGUUCCACAUGUGUCCCAGCUACUUUCUGAUUCUAAUUUCUCUCCUUGAAGAUCCCACUCUUACACUAUCAUUUUGAUAGUUUUAAAGUGCUUAAGAUUUCUUUGGAAUUUAUGCUAAUACCUAAGUUGUUCACUCUACCUGUAUCUCUUCUAUCCUCAACUCAGCCUUUCUAAUAAAAUUUAAAAUUAGGUGUUCUUAAGUAAGCCAUGACAAAAAAUUGUAGAUUUCUCAAAUGUUCCCCAUAGGAUUCACAUUCACAGACAUACAUGGUCUCAUGUGGCAUUCUAGAUGAUAUAACUUGGGUGAUGAGAAUAGAGUGACCAGGGCAAUCAAGCAAAAAGAAAUUUAUAUCCAUGUAUAAUAAUGAGUUUUACCUCCAAAGACUCUAUACAAAUCUGUGCCUAUUAGGACUCUCACAUCACCUGCCUCCCACCUGUUGUUCCUACUCUGAUCUUUUCCAUAUCCCUACUGUCACCAAACAGUCUACUGAAACAUGGAUCAUUUGGUCUUCCUAUUUACAACCUAGCCUAACUGCAUAAGCUAGCCUAACUAACUCCAUAUCCACCAACCAAGAGGGGAAGUAAGGGCCAUAUAAACAUUAAAUAGGGAGGAGAGUGUGGAAAGUCACAAAGGUGCCCACCAGGCAAGGAUUCUCUGGGUGGCUCUGGACUCAGGGAAGGUUUUGGGAGGAACUUUGAUGCUGUGAAUGUGCUGAAUCCUCUUCUUGUGUCUGUAAGAAUAAGAAUUAUGGAGCCACUGGAACAGAUUUGAGCAAAGAAAAGACAACUUCAGUAAUACAAAUAAUGUUGCAUAUAAAAAGUCUGUGAUUUUGUCAUGACUUACAAUAGAACAUCACCCGUAAUCUGUUUUCUCUUUGUGACUUCACUGUUGCAUUUUCCAAGCACAUAGGAGGGAAAAUGAAAUUUAUCAUCAUAAAAAGGAUCCAGCAGAGGGAAAUGGAGAAGCCAAUGUGCUUUGGAGCUAUUAAUUUAAGAGCCCUCCCACAGGAGGCUUUACGGGGCUGAUCGUGAUGCUCUGGAAGACACUCAAGAAGCAGGUGAUGCCAAUGGAUACAUUCCUGCCCACUCAUUGAAUAUAUGAAAUAAUUUUGCAUCAAAGGUCAUUUAAAAAGUGUUCCAUCACAAAAGCUGCCAUUAUCAGGGAAAUUCCAUUAGAGAGAAUGAGGAGGGGGCUGGCUAUAUUUAGGACUUGAGGCUCAAAUCAGUGGGCCUUAAUGGAUGCCUACUAUAGGAAAGGAGUAGGUAGUAGUAAAGAAGAUAGAAUUUCCCAGAAUCCCAAGUGUAAUCUGUGGUAAGAGCAUCAGUCUUAUGACCACGUCUCUGGAGGCCAUUCUGUCAUUUAGCACAGUUUUGUUUGGAUUAUGGCAACAGCCAUCCCUAUGACCAAAAUGCCUCAUUAAAAUGAUUUUUAUCCAGAGACUGGUGUGCACUUGUAGUCACCAACUACUUGGGAUGCCGAGGCAGGAGAAAUACUUGAGCUAGGAGUUUGAAACCAUCCUGGGCAACACAG
Molecule: long non-coding RNA, 2678 nt
Filed under: Marmota monax (woodchuck)
Lineage: Eukaryota; Metazoa; Chordata; Mammalia; Rodentia; Sciuridae
Source: RNAcentral